CGCGCAGCCGACGCUACGGGAAGGAAAGCCGCGCGGACGCCGGGCAGCAGCCGGCGCCCGCAACAAAAUAAAACUACGAAGCCGAACGGAACCCGAAGCCGAACAAAGCGGGCGCCGAGGAGAAGCGGAAGCCCGGGUCCGGCCGCCGGCAGGCCGCGGCCGCCCGCUCGCCCCUCCCCGCCCCCAGCCCCGCGCCGGCGGCGCGCCCACCUCCCCGCACGGCCCCGACCCUUGGGCGCAGCGCGCGGCCCGGCCCCGCCCUUCCGCACCCGCGGGACACCUCCACCAGUCGCUGUCCUGCCGCUCCCCGCGCGCACGCCGCGCGUUAUCUACGCUCCCACCCGCACCCACCUGACAACGCCCCGCUCUCCGCCGACCCCGCCACGCCACUCGGCGCUCACCCGCCGGCCCGCCCACUUCCCCUCCCCACCGGGAGGGCUGCCGCAACGCCCCUGCGGCGCAUGCGCAGAACGCCGCGUCUUCCCGCCUCCUGGGCGCCGCUCCACAGCAGCCAUCUUGGUGGCGGGAGGGGCUCGUGCCCGGCGGAAGCGGCGCUCUCACGCGCGCUGCUUUCCCGGGGGAGCGCCGUUAGGGCCGGCGGCGGGGCGGUGGGCGGGUGGCGCAGGGACGUCAGCUGAAGGGUGGGAUGCCGUCCACAGCGACCUAGACAGGCUGAAGUGGUGGGCCUGGGAGAACCGUGUGAGGCUAGUAAAGCCAAGUGUAAGGUCUCGCACGUGGGUCACGGCAACCUCCGCUAUCAGUACAAGCCGGGGGAUGGAAGGGAAGAGCACAGCCCUACUAAAAAGGAUCUGGGGACACUGGUGGGUGGCAGCUGGACAUGAGCCAGCAGCGUGCCCUCACAGCCCAGAAUGCCAACAGUAUCCUGGGCUGCACGGCCAGCAGGGUGAGGGAGGUGGUCCUGCCCCUCUGCUCUGUGCUGGUGAGACCUCACCUGGAGUACUGCGUCCAGAUGUAGAGUCCUCAGUACAGGAGAGACGUGGACCUGAAAGAGCGUGA
RNAcentral lists this long non-coding RNA (1017 nucleotides) under Phasianus colchicus (ring-necked pheasant). Its description in RNAcentral is "lncRNA (ENSPCLG00000004310.1)". Lineage: Eukaryota; Metazoa; Chordata; Aves; Galliformes; Phasianidae. The record is from RNAcentral.